Molecule: long non-coding RNA, 754 nt
Organism: Erigeron canadensis
Lineage: Eukaryota; Viridiplantae; Streptophyta; Magnoliopsida; Asterales; Asteraceae
Exons: 3
Source: RefSeq, a predicted model, not a curated record
CAUCUAUUUCUUCUCAAACGUCUAUUUCUUCUUCACUUCUCUAUCUAUCUUUUCUCCAAGACUCUUCCCCUUCUGCCAGUUCAUCUGUUUCCUCUUGUCAUUGAAUUGGUUCUCAAACAGAGGGUAUAGUAUACACACAUUUUACAAGGGUAUGCAAGUGAAUACCCUUUGUUUAACAUGGAUCCGCCUGACCCCGCCGCAAUGCGCAGGUACCGUUUUCGUAUAGAAAAUAGGAGUGUGCUUUCUGAAGACAAUCAGCGUAUUCCUCGGUCAUUUGACUUGCAAUAAUUGCUUGAGUUGCGAGAGCACAAUCCCACAGUUGACUACCAAAACUUUGCAUCGUCAUUCCAUCUUCUGCAAUCCAUAAGUAAUCGGGUAGUCUGGCAAGGUGAUAUUUGAACUCAUCUCCAUUUUGAUUCUCUGCCCACCAACACAUCAUUUGGAGACUCUGUGCAAAACAGAAGAAAAAUUUUGGAUAGUCUUUACAUGGUAAAAAAAAUCAAUCUUAUGUUAUUUAUUUUACGUUAAUUUAUUUUUGAGAACUUGGGCAGAAAGUUUACUUUUGCAACGCAUCCUAUUGUCAUGUAUCUAGUUUGUUCAGAUUCAUAGCGCAUAAGUUCAACAACUCUUUUGAGAGAUUUUUGUCGUAGUGUAGAAAAUGGCCAGUAUUUAAGAACGGGCUCCAUAACGUAGUGGAGACUAUGCCACAGUGCAUUUUGAAGAAAUGAAUGUGGGUAGAACAAGUCCUCCUGCA